UACGUAGGUGGCAAGCGUUGUCCGGAUUUACUGGGCGUAAAGAGCGCGCAGGCGGUUGUUUAAGUCGAAUGUGAAAGCCCCCGGCUCAACUGGGGAGGGUCAUUCGAUACUGAUCGACUUGAAGGCAGGAGAGGGAAGUGGAAUUCCGGGUGUAGUGGUGAAAUGCGUAGAUAUCCGGAGGAACACCAGUGGCGAAGGCGACUUCCUGGCCUGUUCUUGACGCUGAGGCGCGAAAGCUAGGGGAGCGAACAGG
This 253-nucleotide ribosomal RNA is filed under the name uncultured bacterium. Its description in RNAcentral is "partial 16S ribosomal RNA". It matches the Rfam family "Bacterial small subunit ribosomal RNA", at positions 524 to 776 of the family's 1533-position model. The record is from RNAcentral.